This 381-nucleotide RNase P RNA is filed under the name Clostridia bacterium. Its description in RNAcentral is "RNase P RNA component class A". It matches the Rfam family "Bacterial RNase P class A". Rfam says of the family: Ribonuclease P (RNase P) is a ubiquitous endoribonuclease, found in archaea, bacteria and eukarya as well as chloroplasts and mitochondria. Its best characterised activity is the generation of mature 5'-ends of tRNAs by cleaving the 5'-leader elements of precursor-tRNAs. Cellular RNase Ps are ribonucleoproteins. Lineage: Bacteria; Bacillati; Bacillota; Clostridia. The record is from RNAcentral.
CGAGGCUGUUGAGCGGCCGCAAGCGCGUUCAGCGUUUGAGGAAAGUCCGAGCUCCGCAGGGCAGGGUGCCGGGUAACGCCCGGUGGAGGCGACUCCAAGGAAAGUGCAACAGAGAUAUACCGCCCGGCUAAGCAAGUGUUUAUACCGAUUGCAUAAUCGGCAUUGACCAGCUUCCGGGUAAGGGUGGAAAGGCGAGGUAAGAGCUCACCGGCGGCAUGGCGACUUGACCGUCCUGUAAACCCCACCUGGUGCAAGAUUGAUAGAGGAGCAUAUGUGGCGGCCCGUCACGCUCCUGGGUAAUCGCCCGAAUCCGCCGGUAACGGCGGAUCUAGAUAGAUGGCCGUUCGCGACAGAACUCGGCUUACAGACAGCGCUCGUAAA